CUCAGAUUAGCCAUGCAUGUCUAAGUACAUGCCGUAUUAAGGCGAAACCGCGAAUGGCUCAUUAAAUCAGUUAUGGUUCCUUGGAUCGUACCUUACUACUUGGAUAACUGUGGCAAUUCUAGAGCUAAUACAUGCAGCAGAGCUCCGACCUUCGGGGACGAGCGCUUUUAUUAGACCAAAACCAAUCGGACCUCGUGUCCGUACGAUGUGGUGACUCUGUAUAACUUUGGGCUGAUCGCACGGGCCUGUCCCGGCGACGUAUCUUUCAAGUGUCUGCCUUAUCAACUGUCGAUGGUAGGUUACUCGCCUACCAUGGUCGUAACGGGUGACGGGGAAUCAGGGUUCGAUUCCGGAGAGGGAGCCUGAGAAACGGCUACCACAUCCAAGGAAGGCAGCAGGCGCGCAAAUUACCCACUCCCRGAACGGGGAGGUAGUGACGAAAAAUAACAAUACGGGACUCUUUUGAGACCCCGUAAUUGGAAUGAGUACACUCUAAAUCCUUUAACGAGGAUCCAUUGGAGGGCAAGUCUGGUGCCAGCAGCUGCGGUAAUUCCAGCUCCAAUAGCGUAUAUUAAAGUUGUUGCGGUUAAAAAGCUCGUAGUUGGAUCUCAGUUCCAGACGGGUGGUCCGCCUACCGGUGGUYACUGCCUGUUCUGAACAGCCAGCCGGUUUCUCUUGAUGAUCUUCACCGGUUGUCUYGGGUGACCGGCAAGUUUACUUUGAAAAAAUUAGAGUGCUCAAAGCAGGCGUGACGCCUGAAUAAUGGUGCAUGGAAUAAUGGAAUAGGACCUCGGUUCUAUUUUGUUGGUUUUCGGAACACGAGGUAAUGAUUAAGAGGGACAGACGGGGGCAUUCGUAUUGCGACGCUAGAGGUGAAAUUCUUGGACCGUCGCAAGACGAACUACUGCGAAAGCAUUUGCCAAGAAUGUUUCCAUUAAUCAAGAACGAAAGUUAGAGGUUCGAAGGCGAUCAGAUACCGCCCUAGUUCUAACCAUAAACGAUGCCAGCCAGCGAUCCGGCUGUGUUUCUCAAAUUGACACGCCGGGCCAGCUUCCGGGAAACCAAAGCUUUUGGGGUCCGGGGGGAAGUAUGGGUUGCAAAGCUGAAACUUAAAGAAUUGACGGAAGGGCACCAACAGGAAUGGAGC
RNAcentral lists this ribosomal RNA (1147 nucleotides) under Asianopis zhuanghaoyuni. RNAcentral's name for it is "SSU rRNA". It matches the Rfam family "Eukaryotic small subunit ribosomal RNA", at positions 38 to 1193 of the family's 1831-position model. Lineage: Eukaryota; Metazoa; Arthropoda; Arachnida; Araneae; Deinopidae. The record is from RNAcentral.